GACGAACGCUGGCGGCGUGCUUAACACAUGCAAGUCGAACGAUGAACCACUUCGGUGGGGAUUAGUGGCGAACGGGUGAGUAACACGUGGGCAAUCUGCCCUGCACUCUGGGACAAGCCCUGGAAACGGGGUCUAAUACCGGAUAUUGACCUUCACGGGCAUCUGUGAGGUUCGAAAGCUCCGGCGGUGCAGGAUGAGCCCGCGGCCUAUCAGCUUGUUGGUGAGGUAAUGGCUCACCAAGGCGACGACGGGUAGCCGGCCUGAGAGGGCGACCGGCCACACUGGGACUGAGACACGGCCCAGACUCCUACGGGAGGCAGCAGUGGGGAAUAUUGCACAAUGGGCGAAAGCCUGAUGCAGCGACGCCGCGUGAGGGAUGACGGCCUUCGGGUUGUAAACCUCUUUCAGCAGGGAAGAAGCGAAAGUGACGGUACCUGCAGAAGAAGCGCCGGCUAACUACGUGCCAGCAGCCGCGGUAAUACGUAGGGCGCAAGCGUUGUCCGGAAUUAUUGGGCGUAAAGAGCUCGUAGGCGGCUUGUCACGUCGGUUGUGAAAGCCCGGGGCUUAACCCCGGGUCUGCAGUCGAUACGGGCAGGCUAGAGUUCGGUAGGGGAGAUCGGAAUUCCUGGUGUAGCGGUGAAAUGCGCAGA
Molecule: ribosomal RNA, 650 nt
Filed under: Streptomyces sp. YIM KMY32
Lineage: Bacteria; Bacillati; Actinomycetota; Actinomycetes; Kitasatosporales; Streptomycetaceae
Description: bacterial SSU rRNA
Rfam family: Bacterial small subunit ribosomal RNA
Source: RNAcentral